This 253-nucleotide ribosomal RNA is filed under the name uncultured bacterium. RNAcentral's name for it is "partial 16S ribosomal RNA". It matches the Rfam family "Bacterial small subunit ribosomal RNA", at positions 524 to 776 of the family's 1533-position model. The record is from RNAcentral.
UACGUAGGGGGCAAGCGUUGUCCGGAUUUAUUGGGCGUAAAGAGCGUGUAGGCGGUUCGGUAGGUCCGUUGUGAAAACUCGAGGCUCAACCUCGAGACGCCGAUGGAAACCCUCGAACUAGAGUCCGGAAGAGGAGAAUGGAAUUCCUGGUGUAGCGGUGAAAUGCGCAGAUAUCAGGAGGAACACCGGUGGCGAAGGCGGUUCUCUGGGCCUGUUCUGACGCUGAGGAGCGAAAGCGUGGGGAGCGAACAGG